UUUCGAAGGGACAAUUUGCUUCGCUUGC
This 28-nucleotide small RNA is filed under the name Bombyx mori (domestic silkworm). RNAcentral describes it as "ovarian small RNA-4155". Lineage: Eukaryota; Metazoa; Arthropoda; Insecta; Lepidoptera; Bombycidae. The record is from RNAcentral.